RNAcentral lists this ribosomal RNA (63 nucleotides) under Trichoderma gamsii. Its description in RNAcentral is "partial 28S ribosomal RNA". Lineage: Eukaryota; Fungi; Ascomycota; Sordariomycetes; Hypocreales; Hypocreaceae. The record is from RNAcentral.
UGACCUCGGAUCAGGUAGGAAUACCCGCUGAACUUAAGCAUAUCAAUAAGCCGGAGAAAAAGG